RNAcentral lists this ribosomal RNA (171 nucleotides) under uncultured bacterium. Its description in RNAcentral is "partial 16S ribosomal RNA". It matches the Rfam family "Bacterial small subunit ribosomal RNA", at positions 1322 to 1500 of the family's 1533-position model. The record is from RNAcentral.
GAAGCUGGAUUCGCUAGUAAUCGCGCAUCAGCCAUGGCGCGGUGAAUACGUUCCCGGGCCUUGUACACACCGCCCGUCAAGCCGUGAAAGCCGGGGGUACCUGAAGUACGUAACCGCAAGGAUCGUCCUAGGGUAAAACUGGUAAUUGGGGCUAAGUCGUAACAAGGUAUC